This 460-nucleotide ribosomal RNA is filed under the name uncultured bacterium. RNAcentral describes it as "partial 16S ribosomal RNA". It matches the Rfam family "Bacterial small subunit ribosomal RNA", at positions 338 to 795 of the family's 1533-position model. The record is from RNAcentral.
CCUACGGGAGGCUGCAGUGAGGAAUAUUGGUCAAUGGACGAGAGUCUGAACCAGCCAAGUAGCGUGAAGGAUGACUGCCCUAUGGGUUGUAAACUUCUUUUAUAUGGGAAUAAAAUGUUCCACGUGUGGGAUUUUGUAUGUACCAUAUGAAUAAGGAUCGGCUAACUCCGUGCCAGCAGCCGCGGUAAUACGGAGGAUCCGAGCGUUAUCCGGAUUUAUUGGGUUUAAAGGGAGCGUAGGUGGAUUGUUAAGUCAGUUGUGAAAGGUUGCGGUUCAACCGUAAAAUUGCAGUUGAAACUGGCAGUCUUGAGUACAGUAGAGGUGGGCGGAAUUCGUGGUGUAGCGGUGAAAUGCUUAGAUAUCACGAAGAACUCCGAUUGCGAAGGCAGCUCACUGGACUGCAACUGACACUGAGGCUCGAAAGUGUGGGUAUCAAACAGGAUUAGAUACCCCGGUAGUC